GAUCUAGAAUCUAGAUAGAUUUUAUCUGUUCCUAUUCUAGAAAUAGGUAUGGGCAUGGGAAAAUAUAUAUUAGAUACUUCGAUUUUCCGGUCGCGCGAGAUUUUUUUUGGUUACCGGAACCGGUAGUAUUCGUGCGGCAGUAUUUAAGCCGAUAACAAUAGAGAUUUCGUUCCAGUCUGGUUUUGUCUUCAAAAUCAGACACAAAAGGAUAGUCAGAGCCCUUUGUUUGUUCAAGGAUCGGAUAUCAGUUAAUUCUUUGGAUUUAUAUCAGUGCUUUUCUAUCGUCUUCAUUGGAGUUCCAGCGUGUUGAGCAUAGGGAUAAUGUGGGCGUGGCAGGCCUUGAUGUCGAUGUUGUUGACAAUAAGUUUCGAAGGCAUAUGACUGAUGUGAAGAACUUUUGCAGGAAGAUUACCCGCAGCUGGCACCUAGUUGCACCCUACUUGGAUAAAAAAAUUUCUAUUGAUGCUGCUGGCAAAAAGACACCUAUCCAAGUCCCAAGACAGCACUGAACGACCUAGUAUGGUGAAGAAGUUGCGACCUGAAGGUGAUGUUGAGGCUACUGAAAGGCCAGGUAACACAGAACAACACUGUGCUUGUUGCAGAAAAGCGGUUAGUCUUUUAAGGUAAUAACUUUUACAUUUUCUUUUGUAAAUUCAUUUUUAUAGUUUCAAAACAAUUCCUUUUUAGGUGUCUCAACCCUUUUGACAUUAUUAUAUUUAUUAACAGGGCUUUUUGGCAAGAUGUUAACUGGACCGUGGAUGACACUGAUCUACAAAAUGAAAGAUGAAACAUUUUAAAGAUACCAUUUAUGCAGCUAUUAUAUUUAUUCUCUUGUUUUCUAGAUCUCUCAUGUGAAGGUCUGCAUUGACAAACUAAAGCCACUAAAGGCCCUUGUGGAUUCUCCAGAGAAUCUCCUUUCAAUACUAAGUGAUUGCUUUGGCCAGACUCUGGAUACUGAAGAUCUCGUUCUGAAAACCCUGAGAAAUGUGACUGUUGAUGAAGUAUUUAUCGAGAUCACUAAAAAACUUGCUGAAGGUUUUUGUAAGGUGCUACAGAGACAGUACUUCAAUUGAUAAUUUCCAACAACAAACAAAUCCAUUAUGUGCUUACCCAUCAAAUAGUUAGAUAUAUUUUAUUUUAAGGGAACAUGUUGCAUAUCUGGGAUAUUUAUUUAAUGUGAAAAAUAUAAUUUCACAAUACAGCUGAUAAUUGUGCUAUGAACCAUUUAUAUUAAGUCUUGAUAAUUUUACCUUUUCAGCAAGCCUAUAUUGGUAUGCAUUAAAAGUAUUUAUUCUAUUUCAGCAAAACAGAUAGGGUACACCCAAACAAUGUUCAUCUUCAAACAAUCAUGCAUGAUCCUCGCAAGCUUUGGAUACUGACGUACAUUUGCAAACGCACUCAGACUGAUGACAUCAAGAAAUCUAUAUUUGUUAUUUACAUUAUAUGUAAAU
Molecule: long non-coding RNA, 1451 nt
Organism: Biomphalaria glabrata
Lineage: Eukaryota; Metazoa; Mollusca; Gastropoda; Planorbidae
Exons: 2
Source: RefSeq, a predicted model, not a curated record